GCAAUAAGCGGAGGAAAAGAAACUAACAAGGAUUCCCCUAGUAACUGCGAGUGAAGCGGGAAAAGCUCAAAUUUAAAAUCUGGCGGUCUCUGGCCGUCCGAGUUGUAAUCUAGAGAAGUAAUGCCCGUGCUGGACCGUGUAUAAGUCUCCUGGGAUGGGGCGUCAUAGAGGGUGAGAAUCCCGUCUUUGACACGGACUACCAGUGCAUUGUGGUAUGCUCUCAAAGAGUCGAGUUGUUUGGGAAUGCAGCUCAAAAUGGGUGGUAAAUUCCAUCUAAAGCUAAAUAUUGGCGAGAGACCGAUAGCGAACAAGUACCGUGAGGGAAAGAUGAAAAGAACUUUGGAAAGAGAGUUAAACAGUACGUGAAAUUGCUGAAAGGGAAACGCUUGAAGUCAGUCGCGUUGGCCAGGGAUCAGCCUUGCUUUUGCAUGGUGUACUUUCUGGUUGACGGGUCAGCAUCAAUUUUGACCGCUGGAAAAGGGCCUGGGGAAUGUGGCAGCUUCGGCUGUGUUAUAGCCCCUGGUCGCAUACGGUGGUUGGGAUUGAGGAACUCAGCACGCCGCAAGGCCGGGUUUCGACCACGUUCGUGCUUAGGAUGCUGGCAUAAUGGCUUUAAGCGACCCGUCUUGAAACACGGACCAAGGAGUCUAACAUGCCUGCGAGUAUUUGGGUGGAAAACCCAAGUGCGCAAUGAAAGUGAAAGUUGAGAUCCCUGUCGUGGGGAGCAUCGACGCCCGGACCAGAACUUUUGGGACGGAUCCGCGGUGGAGCAUGUAUGUUGGGACCCGAAAGAUGGUGAACUAUGCCUGAAUAGGGUGAAGCCAGAGGAAACUCUGGUGGAGGCUCGUAGCGAUUCUGACGUGCAAAUCGAUCGUCAAAUUUGGGUAUAGGGGCGAAAGACUAAUCGAACCAUCUAGUAGCUGGUCUGC
This 929-nucleotide ribosomal RNA is filed under the name Agaricus phaeolepidotus. RNAcentral's name for it is "LSU rRNA". It matches the Rfam family "Eukaryotic large subunit ribosomal RNA", at positions 43 to 959 of the family's 3401-position model. The record is from RNAcentral. Lineage: Eukaryota; Fungi; Basidiomycota; Agaricomycetes; Agaricales; Agaricaceae.